This 160-nucleotide unclassified non-coding RNA is filed under the name uncultured Helotiales. Its description in RNAcentral is "sequence contains ITS1". The record is from RNAcentral. Lineage: Eukaryota; Fungi; Ascomycota; Leotiomycetes; Helotiales.
CAGAGAACAUCGCCCGCAAGGGUGACUCUCCAACCCAAUGUUAAUCAUACUUUUUUGCUUUGGCGAGCCGCUUCGGCCACUGGCUUCUCGCUGGUGAGUGCUCGCCAGGGGGACCCUAUACUCUGUUUAUAUGUGUCGUCUGAGUACUAUAUAAUAGUUA